CUGCGCGUGCGCACGCGCACAAGUGAGGGCCGGGCGGAGGGAGCGGGGAAGCGGCGAGCGCGCCGGCAGCGCAGCUGCGGGCGUGGGGGCGGCAGGAGCCGUGAAGCCGGCCCGAGAGCGGGGCUGGGCGGCUGAGGCAAAGGCGAUGAUUUAAGAGAUGGUGCUGAUUCAGACGUGCACACAGUGACACAGGUGCUAAAUGCAGUGCUGGAGGGAGUACAGAUCUGUGGAACCUGUUUCAGAAGCACUUUGGCAAUGUCACAGAGCAGAACUUAGUACUUCUGAGAAAAGGAAUGCUGAACCCUUACGAAGAGAUAAAGGUUAUGUGGUACAUAUUGGUGGUCUCUGCCCUUCAGUAUCUGAGGCUGAUUAAAGGUCUCAUUUCCAGAAAUACCAAGUUUCUGAAAUUUCAAUUUAUGACUCUUCUACUAAUUACAGUAUUCUGGAUUAACAGAAGUAAAUAGCCACCCGACCUCCAGAUGAUUUUCCACGUGUGCCUGGCAAGACUGGGGAAAACCCUGGGGCUACACUCGGGUGUCUGAUGACUGAGGGUUUCACAGAAGAGGCCUCUCCUGACUCAGCUUGGAGGGACUCGUCUGUCAGGAACAGCGUGAGCCUAGGAAACCUUCACCAUGAACUUUGUGUUAGAUCAUGAGUCCCGGCAUUUGGCAACAACUGAAACAUAUCUCUAAAUCUUACAGAUUAUAGUACUAAGUUUAAAAUCUAGGCCUUAAAAAUACAGUAAACAUUAAAGCUUCUGGGAUUCCUAAAAUCUCCUUGCCUGGACCUUUCCUGUCCCCUAAGGGAAGAGAAUGAGUGAGGGAAGCUCAUUCUCGGCACUUCACUGUGUUCCAUGAUUGCAACUGAGCCCUGUGAAUCUCCUCUUUCUCCACCUCCACACCUCCUUUCACAGCCCCCUCAGUCCUCCCUUUCCUUGACAAACCCAAGUAAACCCCACAGUUGCCAUCAAAGCUUAUUCUGCGAAGAUCCACUUCCAGUUAGUCUGGGGUCAGUGAGGCGCCUAGAAUGAGAUGGUUUUCAGAAUUACACUACCGACAGAAUAUAUUUUGAACAUGUUUUAAAAGGUAUUCUUGAAUAUCCUACUUCUUCACACUAUUACUUAUAAUAGUUCCAGACUUUGCUCCAAGAAAAUAAAUAAAAAAUGAUGCCAGUAUUCAAAUUUAAAGAAAACUUAAGGAAAAUCAGUUGGUUCUGUACAAACUUAGAUGUAAAACUAAAAGAUAAUAAAAAUUACAAUUAAGAAACA
Molecule: long non-coding RNA, 1267 nt
Organism: Lemur catta (Ring-tailed lemur)
Lineage: Eukaryota; Metazoa; Chordata; Mammalia; Primates; Lemuridae
Exons: 5
Source: RefSeq, a predicted model, not a curated record